RNAcentral lists this microRNA precursor (125 nucleotides) under Brassica carinata (Ethiopian mustard). Its description in RNAcentral is "MIR9563 microRNA precursor family". It matches the Rfam family "MIR9563 microRNA precursor family". RNAcentral also lists the same sequence under 1 other name. Lineage: Eukaryota; Viridiplantae; Streptophyta; Magnoliopsida; Brassicales; Brassicaceae. The record is from Rfam by way of RNAcentral.
AGAAUAUAAGAAACUGUCUCUUAACUUUUAACUAAAAAAGUUAAGAACCGGCUCUUAAAACUCUUAUUUAAGAAUCGGUUCUUAACUUUUUUAGUUAAGAGUUAAGAGACGGGUUCUUAUAUUCC